RNAcentral lists this ribosomal RNA (206 nucleotides) under uncultured bacterium. RNAcentral's name for it is "partial 16S ribosomal RNA". It matches the Rfam family "Bacterial small subunit ribosomal RNA", at positions 568 to 774 of the family's 1533-position model. The record is from RNAcentral.
CAUGUAGGCGGAUUAAUAAGUUUGAAGUGAAAUCCUAUAGCUUAACUAUAGAACUGCUUUGAGAACUGUUAAUCUAGAAUGUGGGAGAGGUAGAUGGAAUUUCUGGUGUAGGGGUAAAUCCGUAGAGAUCAGAAGGAAUACCGAUUGCGAAGGCGAUCUACUGGAACAUUAUUGACGCUGAGAUGCGAAAGCGUGGGGAGCAAACA